This 300-nucleotide ribosomal RNA is filed under the name uncultured Streptomyces sp. RNAcentral's name for it is "bacterial SSU rRNA". It matches the Rfam family "Bacterial small subunit ribosomal RNA", at positions 496 to 794 of the family's 1533-position model. The record is from RNAcentral. Lineage: Bacteria; Bacillati; Actinomycetota; Actinomycetes; Kitasatosporales; Streptomycetaceae.
GGUAAUGCCGGGGCAGAUGCGGCGGGUAAACGGAAGAUCCAAGCGUUAUCCGGAAUUACUGGGCGUAAAGAGUUGCGUAGGUGGCAUAGUAAGCAGAUAGUGAAAUUGUGUGGCUCAACCAUACACCCAUUAUCUGAACUGCUAAGCUAGAGUAUAUGAGAGGUAGCUGGAAUUCCUAGUGUAGGAGUGAAAUCCGUAGAUAUUAGGAGGAACACCGAUGGCGUAGGCAGGCUACUGGCAUAUUACUGACACUAAGGCACGAAAGCGUGGGGAGCGAACGGGAUUAGAUACCCGAGUAGC